UGUCAUUGUUUCUAAAUCAUAAUUUGAAGAACAUAUCAAACCCUGGUCCAUUGAAUGUAGAACACUAGAAAGGCCUUGAAAAAGUUGAGCAUUCAUGUCUGACUGAUCAGUAUCAUCGGAAUUGGUUUCGAUCACAUGAUAAGAAGAUGCAGUCACGACAAAUGAAGCCCCCAUUAUUAGACAUUUUUAAAGAGAAGCUAAGUUUAUCCUCUCAGUAACAGUUACGGUGAUUGGUGAAUAAACUGGCAUAAGCUUCAGGGAAUUAUGGAAUGAGGGAAGAAACA
RNAcentral lists this long non-coding RNA (284 nucleotides) under Lathyrus oleraceus (garden pea). RNAcentral describes it as "Pisum sativum (pea) long non-coding RNA (PSAT_LNC012646)". The record is from RNAcentral. Lineage: Eukaryota; Viridiplantae; Streptophyta; Magnoliopsida; Fabales; Fabaceae.